RNAcentral lists this ribosomal RNA (232 nucleotides) under uncultured bacterium. Its description in RNAcentral is "partial 16S ribosomal RNA". It matches the Rfam family "Bacterial small subunit ribosomal RNA", at positions 99 to 334 of the family's 1533-position model. The record is from RNAcentral.
CGGACGGGUGAGUAAUGUCUGGGAAACUGCCUGAUGGAGGGGGAUAACUGCUGGAAACGGUAGCUAAUACCGCAUAACGUCGCAAGACCAAAGAGGGGGACCUUCGGGCCUCUUGCCAUCGGAUGUGCCCAGAUGGGAUUAGCUAGUAGGUGGGGUAACGGCCCACCUAGGCGACGAUCCCUAGCUGGUCUGAGAGGAUGACCAGCCACACUGGAACUGAGACACGGUCCAG